AGUUCGAUCAUGGCUCAGAUUGAACGCUGGCGUAGGGAUGCUUUACACAUGCAAGUCGAACGGCAGCACGGACUUUCGGUCUGCGGCGAGUGGCGAACGGGUGGAGCAAUGUAUCGGAACGUGCCUAGUAGCGGGGGAUGGUCUGCCGAAAGCCGUAGCUAAUACCGCAUACGCCCUUCGGGGGAAAGCGGGGACCCGGGCCUCGCACUAUUAGAGCGGCUGUAUAUCGGAUUAGCUAGUUGGUGGGGUAACGGCUCACCAAGGCGACGAUCCGUAGCUAUUGAGAGGACGACCAGCCACACUGGGACUGAGACACGGCCCGGACUCCUGGAUGAAGGUGCAGCAGUGGGGAAUUUUGGACAAUGGGGGAAACCCUGAUCCAGCCAUCCUUAUGUGCGAUGAAGGCCUUCGGGUUGUAAAGCACUUUUGGCAGGAAAGAAACGGCACGGAUAAUACCCCGUGCAACUGACGGUACCUGCAGAAUAAGCACCGGCUAACUACGCCAGAAAGCCGGAACAGUGUGGGUGCAAGCGUUAACUGGAAUUACUGGGCGCAAAGCGUGCGCAGGCGGUUCGGAAAGAAAGAUGUGAAAUCCCAGAGCUUAACUUCCUCUUUGAACUGCAUUUUUUUAACUACCGAGCUAGAGUGUGUCAGAGGGAGGUGGAAUUCCGCGGCGGUAGCAGUGAAAUGCGUAGAUAUGCGGAGGAACACCGAUGGCGAAGGCAGCCUCCUGGGAUAACACUGACGCUCAUGCACGAAAGCGUGGGGAUAAACAGGAUUAGAUAAUUCUGGUAGUCCACGCCCUAAACGAUGUCAACCAGUUGGGCCUUCGGGCCUUUGGUAGCGCAGCGCCAACGUGCGAAGUUGACCGCAUUGGGGAGUAUUUGUGGUCGCAAGAUUAAAACUCAAAGGAAUUGACGGGGACCCGCACAAGCGGUGGAUGAUGUGGAUUAAUUGAUGCAACGCGAAAACCCUUACCCUAAAUUUUGACAUGUCUGGAAUCCCUUGAAGAGAUUUGGGAGUGCUCGCAAGAACCGGAACACAGAGGCGUAAUGGCUGUCGUCAGCUCGUGUCGUGAGAUGUUGGGUUAAGUCCUGGCAACGAGCGCAACCCUUUGUCAUUAGUUGCUACGAAAGGCACUCUGCAUCGAGACUGCCGGUGACAAAACCGGAGGAAGGUGGGAUGACGUCAAGUCCCUCAUGGCCCUUAUGGGUAGUGGGCUUCACACGUCAUACAAUGGUCGGGACAGAGGGUCGCCAACCCGCGAGGGAGCCAAUCCCAGAAACCCGAUCGUAGUCCGCCGGGAUCGCAGUCUGCAACUCGACUGCGUGAAGUCGGAAUCGCUAGCAAUCGCGGAUCAGCAUGUCGCGGUGAAUACGUUCCCGGGUCUUGUACACACUGCCCGUCACACCAUGGGGAGUGGUUUUACCAGAAGUAGUUGCCCAAUGCGGCGGGAGUGGCGAUUACCACGGUAGGAUUCAUGACUGGGUGAAGUCGUAACAAGGUAGCC
RNAcentral lists this ribosomal RNA (1510 nucleotides) under uncultured Bordetella sp. RNAcentral's name for it is "partial 16S-23S ribosomal RNA intergenic spacer". It matches the Rfam family "Bacterial small subunit ribosomal RNA". Lineage: Bacteria; Pseudomonadati; Pseudomonadota; Betaproteobacteria; Burkholderiales; Alcaligenaceae. The record is from RNAcentral.